CGUCGAUAUCAAAACAAAAUCGACAACCAGAAUACAGUCUGUUCUUACACAGGACUUCACGGCCGAUGUUAUGACCCCAAUCAAAUGUCAAAGAUAUAUCAUGCAUACAAUCCUCAUUUAAAUGCCCACAAAAAACAUGGCCGCAAUAAACAGAUUCAACCUUCAAUUUACAAUGAAAAGCAAUAUCGACCUUAU
Molecule: long non-coding RNA, 195 nt
Organism: Papilio machaon (common yellow swallowtail)
Lineage: Eukaryota; Metazoa; Arthropoda; Insecta; Lepidoptera; Papilionidae
Exons: 4
Source: RefSeq, a predicted model, not a curated record